UACGUAGGGUCCGAGCGUUAAUCGGAAUUACUGGGCGUAAAGCGUGCGCAGGCGGUUUUGUAAGCCAGAUGUGAAAUCCCCGGGCUCAGCCUGGGAACUGCAUUUGGGACUGCAAGGCUUGAGUACGGCAGAGGGGGGUAGAAUUCCUGGUGUAGCAGUGAAAUGCGUAGAUAUCAGGAGGAAUACCGAUGGCGAAGGCAGCCCCCUGGGUCGAUACUGACGCUCAUGCACGAAAGCGUGGGGAGCAAACAGG
Molecule: ribosomal RNA, 253 nt
Filed under: uncultured bacterium
Lineage: Bacteria
Description: partial 16S ribosomal RNA
Rfam family: Bacterial small subunit ribosomal RNA
Source: RNAcentral